Molecule: long non-coding RNA, 158 nt
Organism: Thalassophryne amazonica
Lineage: Eukaryota; Metazoa; Chordata; Actinopteri; Batrachoidiformes; Batrachoididae
Exons: 3
Source: RefSeq, a predicted model, not a curated record
UUGCCAAAGGUUAAUUACUGGGGUCAAGGUCACAGGCUCAAUGAUCAAUAGUUAAAGAAUUUUCCCAGUCUGAUUUGCAUCACACUUAGCCCACAUUUGGAAAUGGUUUCUUGACUUGGAGAGCAAGAUCAAAUUUGAAAAUAAAUAAAUAAAUCACA